RNAcentral lists this unclassified non-coding RNA (373 nucleotides) under fungal sp. RNAcentral's name for it is "partial internal transcribed spacer region". The stretch from base 1 to 46 matches the Rfam family "Eukaryotic small subunit ribosomal RNA", at positions 1786 to 1831 of the family's 1831-position model. The record is from RNAcentral. Lineage: Eukaryota; Fungi.
AAGUCGUAACAAGGUUUCCGUAGGUGAACCUGCGGAAGGAUCAUUAACACGUAUUUACUACGUAUUAACCAAACGCGAACUCGUUUUUUGUCCUAAGACUAGUAUAAGAGUGAGAAGUAAGGGAAUGGUGUGAGCUCUGCUCUAACUUAUCUCUCUAUCAGCCUCGAGCUGAAGCUCUAACUAGUUUUAGCAGAUGAAUUUCGGCUGUUUAACCUGCACCUUGGUUGGCAGUCGGAGUGCCCAUUAUUAACCCAUUUAUUCUUCUACUGAUUUGUAUGUUCAUAUUAAUUCCUAUCUUCGGAUGGUUGAGUUAAUUUGAAUGUCGUAUAUUACUAAUACGAAACAACUCUUAGCAACGGAUAUCUUGGUUCUC